UACGCAGGGGGCUAGCGUUGUUCGGAAUUACUGGGCGUAAAGCGCGCGUAGGCGGCGACCUUUGUCAGAGGUGAAAUCCCGAGGCUCAACUUCGGAAUUGCCUUUGAAACUGGGUUGCUUGAGUCCGAGAGAGGAUGGCGGAAUUCCUAGUGUAGAGGUGAAAUUCGUAGAUAUUAGGAAGAACACCGGUGGCGAAGGCGGCCAGCUGGCUCGGUACUGACGCUGAGGCGCGAAAGCUAGGGGAGCAAACGGG
This 253-nucleotide ribosomal RNA is filed under the name uncultured bacterium. Its description in RNAcentral is "partial 16S ribosomal RNA". It matches the Rfam family "Bacterial small subunit ribosomal RNA", at positions 524 to 776 of the family's 1533-position model. The record is from RNAcentral.